RNAcentral lists this ribosomal RNA (459 nucleotides) under uncultured bacterium. Its description in RNAcentral is "SSU rRNA". It matches the Rfam family "Bacterial small subunit ribosomal RNA", at positions 26 to 518 of the family's 1533-position model. The record is from RNAcentral.
AGAAUCAACGCUGGCGGCGUGCCUAACACAUGCAAGUCGAACGAGAAAGUGGAGCAAUCCAUGAGUACAGUGGCGUACGGGUGAGUAACACGUGACUAACCUACCCUCGAGUGGGGAAUAACCUCGGGAAACCGGGGCUAAUACCGCAUAACAUCUUCGGAUCAAAUGCGUAAGCAGCUUGAGGAGGGGGUCGCGGCCGAUUAGCUAGUUGGCGGGGUAAUGGCCCACCAAGGCAAUGAUCGGUAGCCGGCCUGAGAGGGCGCACGGCCACACUGGAACUGAAACACGGUCCAGACUCCUACGGGAGGCAGCAGUGGGGAAUUUGCGCAAUGGGGGAAACCCUGACGCAGCAACGCCGCGUGGAGGAUGAAGCCCUUUGGGGCGUAAACUCCUUUCGAUCGGGACGAUUAUGACGGUACCGGAAGAAGAAGCACCGGCUAACUCUGCGCCAGCAGCCGC